UACAGAGGCCACAAGCGUUAGACGGAAUCACUGGGCUUAAAGCGUGUGUAGACGGGAUGGUAAGUACCUUGUGAAAUCCCACAGCUUAACUGUGGAAAUGCUUGGUAUACUGCCGUUCUUGAGUCACCUAGGGGCAGCUGGAACAGAUGGUGGAGCGGUGAAAUGCAUAGAUAUCAUCUGGAACGCCAAUGGUGCAGACAAGCUGCUGGGGGGUGUACUGACGCUGAGGCACGAAAGCCAGGGGGAGCAAAACGGGG
RNAcentral lists this ribosomal RNA (257 nucleotides) under uncultured bacterium. RNAcentral describes it as "partial 16S ribosomal RNA". It matches the Rfam family "Bacterial small subunit ribosomal RNA", at positions 524 to 778 of the family's 1533-position model. The record is from RNAcentral.